RNAcentral lists this ribosomal RNA (301 nucleotides) under uncultured bacterium. RNAcentral describes it as "partial 16S ribosomal RNA". It matches the Rfam family "Bacterial small subunit ribosomal RNA", at positions 509 to 807 of the family's 1533-position model. The record is from RNAcentral.
CAGCAGCCACGGGAAUACGUAGGGUGCAAGCGUUAAUCGGAAUUACUGGGCGUAAAGCGUACGCAGGCGGUUCUAUAAGACAGAUGUGAAAUUCCCGGGCUCAACCUGGGAACUGCAUUUGUGACUGUAGAGCUGGAGUGCGGCAGAGGGGGAUGGAAUUCCGCGUGUAGCAGUGAAAUGCGUAGAUAUGCGGAGGAACACCGAUGGCGACGGCAAUCCCCUGGGCCUGCACUGACGCUCAUGCACGAAAGCGUGGGGAGCAAACAGGAUUAGAUACCCGCGUAGUCCCUGUCUCUUAUAC